CUCCAUCUUCUCUAGUGGGGACUGGGAGCCCAUUGCAAUCCGAGGGUCUUGAGUGUGCUUGGCCCAGGCCAGU
This is a long non-coding RNA of Oryctolagus cuniculus (rabbit), 73 nucleotides long. It matches the Rfam family "ZNRD1 antisense RNA 1 conserved region 2". The record is from Rfam. Lineage: Eukaryota; Metazoa; Chordata; Mammalia; Lagomorpha; Leporidae.